GAUGAACGCUGACGGCGCGCCUAACACAUGCAAGUCGAACGGCACCCCUCCUCGGAGGGAAGCGAGUGGCGAACGGCUGAGUAACACGUGGAGAACCUGCCCCCUCCCCCGGGAUAGCCGCCCGAAAGGACGGGUAAUACCGGAUACCCCGGGGUGCCGCAUGGCACCCCGGCUAAAGCCCCGACGGGAGGGGAUGGCUCCGCGGCCCAUCAGGUAGACGGCGGGGUGACGGCCCACCGUGCCGACAACGGGUAGCCGGGUUGAGAGACCGACCGGCCAGAUUGGGACUGAGACACGGCCCAGACUCCUACGGGAGGCAGCAGUGGGGAAUCUUGCGCAAUGGGGGGAACCCUGACGCAGCGACGCCGCGUGCGGGACGGAGGCCUUCGGGUCGUAAACCGCUUUCAGCAGGGAAGAGUCAAGACUGUACCUGCAGAAGAAGCCCCGGCUAACUACGUG
This 459-nucleotide ribosomal RNA is filed under the name uncultured bacterium. RNAcentral describes it as "partial 16S ribosomal RNA". It matches the Rfam family "Bacterial small subunit ribosomal RNA", at positions 28 to 507 of the family's 1533-position model. The record is from RNAcentral.